This 225-nucleotide long non-coding RNA is filed under the name Vigna radiata. RNAcentral's name for it is "long non-coding RNA (VRAD_LNC000473)". Lineage: Eukaryota; Viridiplantae; Streptophyta; Magnoliopsida; Fabales; Fabaceae. The record is from RNAcentral.
GUGAGCAAUCAAAAGGAAAAGAAGAAAAAGGCAAAAGAAAAGAAAAAGGUGAGAAAAGAAAAAUUCAAAGAAGAAAAAGAAAGAGCUCACUGCAAGGGAAGGCUGGGAAAAAGAUCAGAGAGUUGUUCUUGAAAGAAGAAUUCACAAAUGUCUCUCUUAACUCAAGGAACUUUGCUGACCAGAAAAACCAAUUUCCUUCUUAGCCCAGCCAAGUUACAAGCCAUG